UAUAUCGACUUAAUCCGGAUUUUGAUGC
RNAcentral lists this small RNA (28 nucleotides) under Bombyx mori (domestic silkworm). RNAcentral describes it as "ovarian small RNA-23432". The record is from RNAcentral. Lineage: Eukaryota; Metazoa; Arthropoda; Insecta; Lepidoptera; Bombycidae.